This 741-nucleotide long non-coding RNA is filed under the name Homo sapiens (human). Its description in RNAcentral is "HSALNT0227577". Lineage: Eukaryota; Metazoa; Chordata; Mammalia; Primates; Hominidae. The record is from RNAcentral.
CAAGUGAGACUUAAUCAAGAAGGCAUCGGCCUAUGAACAGGAACUAGGCCCUCCCCAAAUACUGAGUCUGCUGCUGCUUCAUCUUGGACCUCCCAGCCUCAAGAAGUGAGAGAAAUAAACUUCUGCUGUUGAUGAUGUUUUGCUAUGGCACCUGGAUCAAACUAAAAUAUCACUUUUGGACAUUAUAUUACUUCCCUUUAUUGAUCACUAAUCUGGAAAUGGGGGGCAGUAAAAACAUCUACUUCUCAGGAUUAUUUUGAAAAGAAAAGGAAGUAGCCUUAAUAAAGGGGUCAACAAGGUCUGGCACAUAGUAGAUGCUCAAUCAACAUCAUGCACCUUGAAGUAGCCUGGAAGCAGGGGAACUUCUUCCAAGAAUGUGGAUGUGGCUGCUGAAAUGGAGACAGGAGAGGGGCACAGUGUGUGGAGACAAAUGGAUUCAUUAUUGAGCUGGUUGUUCUAUGCUGGGUUUCCUGGGUUUUUGUUUUUGUUUUUUUUUUAAUCCAAAAGACAGAGAAAGCGUGAGGGAAAUGCUGGAAAGUAAAUUAAAAUGGGGGAUUGUAUAAUAUAAGGCAGGGAACAGGAAAAUGUUUCCUUUCUUGAGUCUAUGGCUGGGCUGAACUGAUUAGGCCACUCCUUGGCACCCAUGCAAGACUCUGGCUUGGGGUCUAAAGGGGAAGUUAGGCCAUUUUAUUUAAAUGAGUUAUAAAUUAUAGACAAUAAAAUGCAUAUCUCUCAAGGGUU